CAGUCGCCGCGGUAAUACGGAGGAUCCAAGCGUUAUCCGGAAUCAUUGGGUUUAAAGGGUCCGUAGGCGGUCUUGUAAGUCAGUGGUGAAAGCCCAUCGCUCAACGGUGGAACGGCCAUUGAUACUGCAGGACUUGAAUUAUUGGGAAGUAACUAGAAUAUGUAGUGUAGCGGUGAAAUGCUUAGAGAUUACAUGGAAUACCAAUUGCGAAGGCAGGUUACUACCAAUUGAUUGACGCUGAUGGACGAAAGCGUGGGUAGCGAACAGGAUUAGAUACCCGCGUAGUCCCUGUCUCUUAUAU
RNAcentral lists this ribosomal RNA (301 nucleotides) under uncultured bacterium. RNAcentral describes it as "partial 16S ribosomal RNA". It matches the Rfam family "Bacterial small subunit ribosomal RNA", at positions 509 to 809 of the family's 1533-position model. The record is from RNAcentral.